CCGGUGACGGAGCGGCGAACGGGUGAGUAACACGUGGGCAACCUGCCCCUCGCUCUGGGACAACCCGGGGAAACUCGGGCUAAUACCGGAUAUGAUCAUCACGGGCAUCUGUGGUGGUGGAAAGUUUUUCGGCGAGGGAUGGGCCCGCGGCCUAUCAGCUUGUUGGUGGGGUAAUGGCCUACCAAGGCGACGACGGGUAGCCGGCCUGAGAGGGCGACCGGCCACACUGGGACUGAGACACGGCCCAG
This 248-nucleotide ribosomal RNA is filed under the name uncultured bacterium. RNAcentral describes it as "partial 16S ribosomal RNA". It matches the Rfam family "Bacterial small subunit ribosomal RNA", at positions 84 to 334 of the family's 1533-position model. The record is from RNAcentral.